ACUCAAAGGAAUUGACGGGCACCCGCACAAGCGGUGGAGCAUGCUGUUUAAUUCGACGGUACGCGAAAAACCUUACCUAGGCUUGACAUCCCUGGCAAUACUGUAGAAAUACAGUGGAGGUUACCCAGGUGACAGGUGGUGCAUGGUUGUCGUCAGCUCGUGUCGUGAGAUGUUGGGUUAAGUCCCAUAACGAGCGCAACCCUCGUCCUUAGUUGCUAACAUUAAGUUGAGAACUCUAAGGAGACUGCCGGUGAUAAACCGGAGGAAGGUGGGGAUGAGGUCAAAUCAUCAUGCCCCUUACGUCUAGGGCUACAGGCGUGCUACAAUGGUCGAUAUAAUGAGAUGCAAUACUGUGAGGUAAAGCAAAUCUAUAAAGUCGAUCUCAGUUCGGAUUGGAGUCUGAAACUCGACUCCAUGAAGUUGGAAUCGCUAGUAAUCCCGAAUCAGAAUGUCGGGGUGAAUACGUUCUCGGGUGUUGUACACACCGCCCGU
RNAcentral lists this ribosomal RNA (492 nucleotides) under uncultured bacterium. RNAcentral describes it as "bacterial SSU rRNA". It matches the Rfam family "Bacterial small subunit ribosomal RNA", at positions 899 to 1397 of the family's 1533-position model. The record is from RNAcentral.